RNAcentral lists this ribosomal RNA (372 nucleotides) under uncultured organism. RNAcentral describes it as "partial 16S ribosomal RNA". It matches the Rfam family "Bacterial small subunit ribosomal RNA", at positions 527 to 896 of the family's 1533-position model. The record is from RNAcentral.
GUAGGGUGCAAGCGUUAAUCGGAAUUACUGGGCGUAAAGCGUGCGCAGGCGGUUUUGUAAGUCUGUCGUGAAAGCCCCGGGGGCUCAACCUGGGAACUGCAUUCGAUACUGGGUGUCUAGAGUAUGGUAGAGGGUAGUGGAAUUCCCGGUGUAGCGGUGAAAUGCGUAGAUAUCGGGAAGAACACCAGUGGCGAAGGCGGCUACCUGGACCAAUACUGACGCUGAGGUGCGAAAGCGUGGUGAGCAAACAGGAUUAGAGACCCUGGUAGUCCACGCCGUAAACGAUGAGAACUAGAUGCUAGUGAGCUUGACUCAUUAGUAUCGUAGCUAACGCGUUAAGUUCUCCGCCUGGGGAGUACGGCCGCAAGGUUA